Non-coding RNA from Candidatus Yonathbacteria bacterium, 71 nucleotides. Lineage: Bacteria; Candidatus Yonathiibacteriota. The record is from Rfam.
CGGAGAGUAGUAUAGUGGCAGUAUGCAUGCUUUGGGAGCAUGAGGCCCGAGUCCGAUUCUCGGCUCUCCGA